GAGAUUCCCCCAGUAGCGGCGAGCGAACGGGGAGCAGCCCAGAGCCUGAAUCAGUGUGUGUGUUAGUGGAAGCGUCUGGAAAGGCGUGCGAUACAGGGUGACAGCCCCGUACACAAAAAUGCACAUACUGUGAGCUCGAUGAGUAGGGCGGGACACGUGGUAUCCUGUCUGAAUAUGGGGGGACCAUCCUCCAAGGCUAAAUACUCCUGACUGACCGAUAGUGAACCAGUACCGUGAGGGAAAGGCGAAAAGAACCCCGGCGAGGGGAGUGAAAAAGAACCUGAAACCGUGUACGUACAAGCAGUGGGAGCACGCUUAGGCGUGUGACUGCGUACCUUUUGUAUAAUGGGUCAGCGACUUAUAUUCUGUAGCAAGGUUAACCGAAUAGGGGAGCCGAAGGGAAACCGAGUCUUAACUGGGCGUUAAGUUGCAGGGUAUAGACCCGAAACCCGGUGAUCUAGCCAUGGGCAGGUUGAAGGUUGGGUAACACUAACUGGAGGACCGAACCGACUAAUGUUGAAAAAUUAGCGGAUGACUUGUGGCUGGGGGUGAAAGGCCAAUCAAACCGGGAGAUAGCUGGUUCUCCCCGAAAGCUAUUUAGGUAGCGCCUCGUGAAUUCAUCUCCGGGGGUAGAGCACUGUUUCGGCAAGGGGGUCAUCCCGACUUACCAACCCGAUGCAAACUGCGAAUACCGGAGAAUGUUAUCACGGGAGACACACGGCGGGUGCUAACGUCCGUCGUGAAGAGGGAAACAACCCAGACCGCCAGCUAAGGUCCCAAAGUCAUGGUUAAGUGGGAAACGAUGUGGGAAGGCCCAGACAGCCAGGAUGUUGGCUUAGAAGCAGCCAUCAUUUAAAGAAAGCGUAAUAGCUCACUGGUCGAGUCGGCCUGCGCGGAAGAUGUAACGGGGCUAAACCAUGCACCGAAGCUGCGGCAGCGACGCUUAUGCGUUGUUGGGUAGGGGAGCGUUCUGUAAGCCUGUGAAGGUGUGCUGUGAGGUAUGCUGGAGGUAUCAGAAGUGCGAAUGCUGACAUAAGUAACGAUAAAGCGGGUGAAAAGCCCGCUCGCCGGAAGACCAAGGGUUCCUGUCCAACGUUAAUCGGGGCAGGGUGAGUCGACCCCUAAGGCGAGGCCGAAAGGCGUAGUCGAUGGGAAACAGGUUAAUAUUCCUGUACUUGGUGUUACUGCGAAGGGGGGACGGAGAAGGCUAUGUUGGCCGGGCGACGGUUGUCCCGGUUUAAGCGUGUAGGCUGGUUUUCCAGGCAAAUCCGGAAAAUCAAGGCCGAGGCGUGAUGACGAGGCACUACGGUGCUGAAGCAACAAAUGCCCUGCUUCCAGGAAAAGCCUCUAAGCAUCAGGUAACAUCAAAUCGUACCCCAAACCGACACAGGUGGUCAGGUAGAGAAUACCAAGGCGCUUGAGAGAACUCGGGUGAAGGAACUAGGCAAAAUGGUGCCGUAACUUCGGGAGAAGGCACGCUGAUACGUAGGUGAAGCGACUUGCUCGUGGAGCUGAAAUCAGUCGAAGAUACCAGCUGGCUGCAACUGUUUAUUAAAAACACAGCACUGUGCAAACACGAAAGUGGACGUAUACGGUGUGACGCCUGCCCGGUGCCGGAAGGUUAAUUGAUGGGGUUAGCGCAAGCGAAGCUCUUGAUCGAAGCCCCGGUAAACGGCGGCCGUAACUAUAACGGUCCUAAGGUAGCGAAAUUCCUUGUCGGGUAAGUUCCGACCUGCACGAAUGGCGUAAUGAUGGCCAGGCUGUCUCCACCCGAGACUCAGUGAAAUUGAACUCGCUGUGAAGAUGCAGUGUACCCGCGGCAAGACGGAAAGACCCCGUGAACCUUUACUAUAGCUUGACACUGAACAUUGAGCCUUGAUGUGUAGGAUAGGUGGGAGGCUUUGAAGUGUGGACGCCAGUCUGCAUGGAGCCGACCUUGAAAUACCACCCUUUAAUGUUUGAUGUUCUAACGUGGACCCGUGAUCCGGGUUGCGGACAGUGUCUGGUGGGUAGUUUGACUGGGGCGGUCUCCUCCUAAAGAGUAACGGAGGAGCACGAAGGUUGGCUAAUCCUGGUCGGACAUCAGGAGGUUAGUGCAAUGGCAUAAGCCAGCUUGACUGCGAGCGUGACGGCGCGAGCAGGUGCGAAAGCAGGUCAUAGUGAUCCGGUGGUUCUGAAUGGAAGGGCCAUCGCUCAACGGAUAAAAGGUACUCCGGGGAUAACAGGCUGAUACCGCCCAAGAGUUCAUAUCGACGGCGGUGUUUGGCACCUCGAUGUCGGCUCAUCACAUCCUGGGGCUGAAGUAGGUCCCAAGGGUAUGGCUGUUCGCCAUUUAAAGUGGUACGCGAGCUGGGUUUAGAACGUCGUGAGACAGUUCGGUCCCUAUCUGCCGUGGGCGCUGGAGAACUGAGGGGGGCUGCUCCUAGUACGAGAGGACCGGAGUGGACGCAUCACUGGUGUUCGGGUUGUCAUGCCAAUGGCACUGCCCGGUAGCUAAAUGCGGAAGAGAUAAGUGCUGAAAGCAUCUAAGCACGAAACUUGCCCCGAGAUGAGUUCUCCCUGACCCUUUAAGGGUCCUGAAGGAACGUUGAAGACGACGACGUUGAUAGGCCGGGUGUGUAAGCGCAGCGAUGCGUUGAGCUAACCGGUACUAAUGAACCGUGAGGCUUAACCUUACAACGCCGAAG
This 2687-nucleotide ribosomal RNA is filed under the name Shigella flexneri. Its description in RNAcentral is "partial 23S ribosomal RNA". It matches the Rfam family "Bacterial large subunit ribosomal RNA". Lineage: Bacteria; Pseudomonadati; Pseudomonadota; Gammaproteobacteria; Enterobacterales; Enterobacteriaceae. The record is from RNAcentral.